GUUUCCACUAAAUCAUACUAAAUAGAUAAAAGGAUAAACUUCAAAUACCACCUCUGUGAUUUUGCAUUUUUUCACUUUAAUACCAUAUGAUUUAAAGUGUAUCAAGUUAAUCUUAUGUGGUUUUAUUUUUAUCUUUUCGUCAGUUUCUCUGUUAAUAUUUUGUUAAAAAUAUAUAUAAAAAACUUCUGAUAUCCCAUAUAGGUUUAUUGAGUAUUCACUUCAGUAUUCUUUAAUUUUAAAUUUGUCACUGAUUUAAUAAAAAAAAUAGUAGAAUCGAUAAUAAAAAAAUAAAAAUGAAACCACAGAGCACUAAAUUAAUACACUUUAAACUACAGGGUACUAAAGUGAGAAAGUGUGAAACUAUAUGAGUGGUAUUUGAAGUUUUUCCUGGGUAAAAAUAUAUAGAACUUAUCCGAAAAAUGAAUUAUUUUGAUUAUACUAUCCGAUCUUUCAACAAAAUUAAUUUACUACGCAAUCUUUAAAUUUAUUUGAUUUGAGUCAGUUGGUGACACUUUAAUUUCAAAAUUUAAGCUAAUUUCUUAUUAUAAUUAAUUUAUAGUUAUGAGAAUUGUAUAAAAUAUAAAAUAUAAUAAUUAAAUCUGUAAAUAUUAACGACAUAAUCAAAUUUUGAAGUCAAAGUGCUGUUAACUCACUCAAAUCAAACAAAUUUAAAGGCACGAUUCAAAAUGGUCUAUAGUUCAGAUAAGUUCUAUACAUUUUUACCUAUUAAAUAACUUACAAAUUUUAUAAUAUUUAGCUCUUUUUUUUAAGAGAGAGAAAAAUAGCGUGCUACCUGCUUCGUUUAUUUUUUUUAAUAAAUAAACUUAGUUAGAAAUAUAAAGCAACUAGAUUUUGAACUUGAAAUCUCAGAUACCAAUCAUUAAGUUUUUUCUAACCUGCACUAGGGACGGUCG
This 914-nucleotide long non-coding RNA is filed under the name Ananas comosus (pineapple). RNAcentral describes it as "long non-coding RNA (ACOM_LNC024812)". Lineage: Eukaryota; Viridiplantae; Streptophyta; Magnoliopsida; Poales; Bromeliaceae. The record is from RNAcentral.